RNAcentral lists this unclassified non-coding RNA (89 nucleotides) under Pseudomonas corrugata. Lineage: Bacteria; Pseudomonadati; Pseudomonadota; Gammaproteobacteria; Pseudomonadales; Pseudomonadaceae. The record is from RNAcentral.
UGUGGGAGCGAGCCUGCUCGCGAUGGCGGUGUGUCAGUCAGCAUGAAUAUUGCUGACCUACCGCUAUCGCGAGCAGGCUCGCUCCCACA